Molecule: ribosomal RNA, 515 nt
Filed under: uncultured bacterium
Lineage: Bacteria
Description: partial 16S ribosomal RNA
Rfam family: Bacterial small subunit ribosomal RNA
Source: RNAcentral
GAUGAACGCUGGCGGCGUGCCUAAUACAUGCAAGUCGAGCGAAUGGAUUGAGAGCUUGCUCUUAUGAAGUUAGCGGCGGACGGGUGAGUAACACGUGGGUAACCUGCCCAUAAGACUGGGAUAACUCCGGGAAACCGGGGCUAAUACCGGAUAACAUUUUGAACCGCAUGGUUCGAAAUUGAAAGGCGGCUUCGGCUGUCACUUGUGGAUGGACCCGCGUCGCAUUAGCUAGUUGGUGAGGUAACGGCUCACCAAGGCAACGAUGCGUAGCCGACCUGGGAGGGUGAUCGGCCACACUGGGACGGAGACACGGCCCAGAAUCCUACGGGAGGCAGCAGUAGGGAAUCUUCCGCAAUGGACGAAAGUCUGACGGAGCAACGCCGCGUGAGUGACGAAGGCUUUCGGGUCGUAAAACUCUGUUGUUAGGGAAGAACAAGUGCUAGUUGAAUAAGCUGGCACCUUGACGGUACCUAACCUGAAAGCCACGGCUAACUACGUGCCAGCAGCCGCCGUAA